Molecule: ribosomal RNA, 329 nt
Filed under: uncultured eukaryote
Lineage: Eukaryota
Description: partial 18S ribosomal RNA
Rfam family: Eukaryotic small subunit ribosomal RNA
Source: RNAcentral
CCCUUAGAUGUCCUGGGCUGCACGCGCGCUACACUGAUGUGUCCAGUAAGCACCUAACCUCUUCCGAAAGGAACGGGUAACCUUUGCAAAGCACAUCGUGAUGGGGAUAGAUUAUUGCAAUUAUUAGUCUUGAACGAGGAAUUCCUAGUAAGCACAAGUCAUCAGCUUGUGUUGAUUACGUCCCUGCCCUUUGUACACACCGCCCGUCGCUCCUACCGAUUGAAUGAUCCGAUGAAUAUCAUGGAUUGAGGAUGCAAGCAGGUUCGCCUGUCUUCAUCUUCGAGAAGUGAAGUAAAUCUUAUCAUUUAGAGGAAGGAGAAGUCGUAACA